Molecule: unclassified non-coding RNA, 336 nt
Filed under: soil metagenome
Description: partial contains 5.8S ribosomal RNA, internal transcribed spacer 2, and large subunit ribosomal RNA
Rfam family: 5.8S ribosomal RNA (bases 1-120)
Source: RNAcentral
GAUGAAGAACGCAGCGAAAUGCGAUAAGUAAUGUGAAUUGCAGAAUUCAGUGAAUCAUCGAAUCUUUGAACGCACAUUGCGCCCGCCAGUAUUCUGGCGGGCAUGCCUGUUCGAGCGUCAUUUCAACCAUCAAGCCCCCGGCUUGUGUUGGGGACCUGCGGCUGCCGCAGGCCCUGAAAACCAGUGGCGGGCUCGCUAGUCACUCCGAGCGUAGUAAUACAUCUCGCUCAGGGCGUGCUGCGGGUUCCGGGCGUUAAAAAAGCCUUAUUUACCCAAGGUUGACCUCGGAUCAGGUAGGAAGACCCGCUGAACUUAAGCAUAUCAAUAAGCGGAGGA